UGCGGGAGCUGGCUUGCCUGCGAUAGCGGUGGGUCAGCCAUUCAUUUGCUUGCUGACACACUGCAAUCGCAGGCAAGCCAGCUCCCACA
This 89-nucleotide non-coding RNA is filed under the name Pseudomonas tolaasii NCPPB 2192. The record is from RNAcentral. Lineage: Bacteria; Pseudomonadati; Pseudomonadota; Gammaproteobacteria; Pseudomonadales; Pseudomonadaceae.